AGCAGCUUAAGAGAGGAUCAUCUACAGACAUCGAUAAUUUCCUUAGAUUUGACAGCACCUAGAGGUUUGAAAUAGAAAUGGCUUCCAAGCUCAUCAUUGCUGCAUUUCUUCUGGUCGUUCUUGUGGCCGCAACCAGUGGCAGUGCCCCUAGUGGUACGUCGAUCGACGUUGAGGAGGAAGCAAUGUGCACAUAUUAUGGCAUAACAUGUGACUGUAACAAGAACGCCAUAUGCCUCGACCCAGAUGCUUUUGCUCGAGGAUAGAGUCAGAGAGACAUGGAACAACGAAAAGAGCUGACAGGCCGACGUGAUUAAGGGCCACUAUCUCCUCUGGUUCGAUCAUUUUGGGAAUACGUCUAAAUAAUCUAGACUACACCUCUUUAACAUUAAUUAUUCAGUAAUAAAUCAAGAAAUUGAUUCAUCAGUUUAGGAAGCGUAUUGUUAAAAGCCAGAAGAAGAAAUUACUAUCAUGUGUAAUACUCGAAACAUUAAAUGACGCACCUCACAAAA
Molecule: long non-coding RNA, 509 nt
Organism: Strongylocentrotus purpuratus (purple sea urchin)
Lineage: Eukaryota; Metazoa; Echinodermata; Echinoidea; Camarodonta; Strongylocentrotidae
Exons: 4
Source: RefSeq, a predicted model, not a curated record